UACGUAGGGUGCAAGCGUUAAUCGGAAUUACUGGGCGUAAAGCGUGCGCAGGCGGUUAUGUAAGUCAGAUGUGAAAUCCCCGGGCUCAACCUGGGAACUGCAUUUGUGACUGCAUAGCUAGAGUACGGUAGAGGGGGAUGGAAUUCCGCGUGUAGCAGUGAAAUGCGUAGAUAUGCGGAGGAACACCGAUGGCGAAGGCAAUCCCCUGGACCUGUACUGACGCUCAUGCACGAAAGCGUGGGGAGCAAACAGG
RNAcentral lists this ribosomal RNA (253 nucleotides) under uncultured bacterium. Its description in RNAcentral is "partial 16S ribosomal RNA". It matches the Rfam family "Bacterial small subunit ribosomal RNA", at positions 524 to 776 of the family's 1533-position model. The record is from RNAcentral.